UGGGGAAUCUUGGUCAAUGGGCGCAAGCCUGAACCAGCCACGCCGCGUGAGUGAUGAAGGCCUUCGGGUUGUAAAGCUCUGUGGGGAGGGAAGAAACCGUUCUGGAAGAAACGCCAGGGCCUUGACGGUACCUCCUUAGCAAGCACCGGCUAACUCUGUG
Molecule: ribosomal RNA, 160 nt
Filed under: uncultured Nannocystis sp.
Lineage: Bacteria; Pseudomonadati; Myxococcota; Nannocystales; Nannocystaceae
Description: partial 16S ribosomal RNA
Rfam family: Bacterial small subunit ribosomal RNA
Source: RNAcentral